UUGACUUACUUUUUUUUCCACUCAGAGACGCCGCUGUAAUACAUGAGAGUUUGUGACCUCCGGCGGGCGCCCCUCGCCCCGGAGGGCGUGGGGCUGCGGUCCCCCGAGGGGUCCCGCGCCGCCGAAGCAACUUGGAUACGUUCGCGAUGGUUUGAAGUAGCCUUUCGGCUCCUUGUAAUGAUCCCUCCGCUGGUUCACCAACGGAGA
This 207-nucleotide unclassified non-coding RNA is filed under the name uncultured fungus. RNAcentral describes it as "sequence contains ITS1". The record is from RNAcentral. Lineage: Eukaryota; Fungi.